GACGAACGCUGGCGGCGUGCUUAACACAUGCAAGUCGAACGGAAAGGCCCUGCUUGCAGGGUGCUCGAGUGGCGAACGGGUGAGUAACACGUGGGUGAUCUGCCCCUUACUUUGGGAUAAGCCUGGGAAACUGGGUCUAAUACUGGAUAGGACCAUGCUGAAGGUGGUGUGGUGGAAAGAUUUUUUCGGUAAGGGAUGAGCUCGCGGCCUAUCAGCUUGUUGGCGGGGUAAUGGCCUACCAAGGCGUCGACGGGUAGCCGGCCUGAGAGGGUGGACGGGCACAGUGGGACUGUGAUACGGCCCAGAGUCCUACGGGAGGCAGCAGUGGGGAAUAUUGCACAAUGGGGGCAAGCCUGAUGAAGCGACGCCGCGUGGGGGAUGACGGCCUUCGGGUUGUAAACUCCUUUCAGCCAUGACGAAGCCUCUUUUGGGGUGACGGUAGUGGUAGAAGAAGCACCGGCUAACUACGUG
RNAcentral lists this ribosomal RNA (471 nucleotides) under uncultured bacterium. RNAcentral's name for it is "partial 16S ribosomal RNA". It matches the Rfam family "Bacterial small subunit ribosomal RNA", at positions 28 to 507 of the family's 1533-position model. The record is from RNAcentral.